RNAcentral lists this ribosomal RNA (493 nucleotides) under uncultured bacterium. RNAcentral describes it as "partial 16S ribosomal RNA". It matches the Rfam family "Bacterial small subunit ribosomal RNA", at positions 30 to 523 of the family's 1533-position model. The record is from RNAcentral.
AUUGAACGCUGGCGGCAUGCCUUACACAUGCAAGUCGAACGGUAACAGGUUAAGCUGACGAGUGGCGAACGGGUGAGUAAUGUAUCGGAACGUGCCCAGUCGUGGGGGAUAACUGCUCGAAAGAGCAGCUAAUACCGCAUACGACCUGAGGGUGAAAGCGGGGGAUCGCAAGACCUCGCGCGAUUGGAGCGGCCGAUAUCAGAUUAGGUAGUUGGUGAGGUAAAGGCUCACCAAGCCGACGAUCUGUAGCUGGUCUGAGAGGACGACCAGCCACACUGGGACUGAGACACGGCCCAGACUCCUACGGGAGGCAGCAGUGGGGAAUUUUGGACAAUGGGCGCAAGCCUGAUCCAGCCAUGCCGCGUGCGGGAAGAAGGCCUUCGGGUUGUAAACCGCUUUUGUCAGGGAAGAAAAGGUUCUGGCUAAUACCUGGGACUCAUGACGGUACCUGAAGAAUAAGCACCGGCUAACUACGUGCCAGCCGCCGCCGUAA